This 73-nucleotide transfer RNA is filed under the name Trichonephila inaurata madagascariensis. RNAcentral's name for it is "tRNA-Val". It matches the Rfam family "tRNA". From Rfam's summary of the family: Transfer RNA (tRNA) molecules are approximately 80 nucleotides in length. The record is from RNAcentral. Lineage: Eukaryota; Metazoa; Arthropoda; Arachnida; Araneae; Nephilidae.
GCAUCGGUAGCGCCGUAGGUAGCACGUCAGUCUCACACUCUGAUGGUCGUGAGUUCGAUCCUCACCCGGGGCA